GGAGAGGCCGUGGUUCAAUGGUAGAACACCUGCUUUGCAUGCAGAAGGUCCCAGGUUCGAUCCCUGGCGGCUCCA
Elgaria multicarinata webbii is the source of this 75-nucleotide non-coding RNA. The record is from the annotation of a RefSeq genome assembly. Lineage: Eukaryota; Metazoa; Chordata; Lepidosauria; Squamata; Anguidae.